UUCGUCUGCCGCUGCUCUGUGAACCGGCGGGAGUCGCCGUUGGCGUCGCGCUGCCUUUGCCCUAAAAUUGGCAAGGUUGUUGCUCGACGCUCCGCCUCCCUGUAACGUCGUUGGAAGCUGCUCCGUACUCGAGCCCUUGCUCUUCUUCCUCAGAAAUCAGCCGUCGCCGCCACUGAAGAAUCGGCGAGGUCUCCGUGCUCCCCUCAUUGUUUUCGUCCGGCAGGUAGCAAGCCAGAGGCUGCCGCUGCCACCGCCACCGCCAAGGGGCAGUCGCCCUCCUCCUCGUUUAUUGAAACAGGUGAGUAAAGAAUGAAUGGAGGUAGGUUGCUGCUGAAUUGUUUGCUUGAAGGAGUGUUGGCUAGUAGCCUUAAAGAAUCGAGAUGGUGGAUGUGGUUUGAAUAGGUGGGGAGCAAUAGGUAGUGGGGUGGCAGCACACUUAUUUUGCUUUCCACUAACUUUAUGGACAUUUCUAUCUCUCUUCUUUAAUUGUUGUGCCAACUAGAGUGAGUGGCAGUAAGGUGGCCACGUAAAUUCAACCUUGUAAUAUACUAUAUGAUUUUCCCCAAGCUGGGAAGUAGACUGUAUUCGUGAACUAUAAUAAUAUACUGGCUUCUAUUCUCUAUCA
Long non-coding RNA from Salvia miltiorrhiza (redroot sage), 625 nucleotides. RefSeq lists it as uncharacterized. The transcript is spliced from 2 exons. NCBI's taxonomy places the organism in Eukaryota, Viridiplantae, Streptophyta, Magnoliopsida, Lamiales, Lamiaceae. The record is from RefSeq and is a predicted model, not a curated record.